RNAcentral lists this ribosomal RNA (497 nucleotides) under uncultured bacterium. RNAcentral describes it as "partial 16S ribosomal RNA". It matches the Rfam family "Bacterial small subunit ribosomal RNA", at positions 28 to 507 of the family's 1533-position model. The record is from RNAcentral.
GAUGAACGCUGGCGGCGUGCCUAAUACAUGCAAGUCGAGCGAACGGACGAGAAGCUUGCUUCUCUGAUGUUAGCGGCGGACGGGUGAGUAACACGUGGAUAACCUACCUAUAAGACUGGGAUAACUUCGGGAAACCGGAGCUAAUACCGGAUAAUAUUUUGAACCGCAUGGUUCAAAAGUGAAAGACGGUCUUGCUGUCACUUAUAGAUGGAUCCGCGCUGCAUUAGCUAGUUUGUAAGGUAACGGCUUACCAAGGCAACGAUGCAUAGCCGACCUGAGAGGGUGGAUCGCCAACAUGGAACUGAGGACAGGUCCCGGCUCCUAAGGGAGGGCGCAAGAGGGGAACUUUCGCCAUGGGGGGAAGCCUGGCGGAGGCAAGGCGCGUGAGGGAAGAAGGUUCUUCGGUCGUAAAACCACGUUAUUAGGGAAGAACAUAUGUGUAAGUAACUGUGCACAUCUUGACGGUACCUAAUCAGGAAGCCACGGCUAACUACGUG